Molecule: ribosomal RNA, 1373 nt
Filed under: Candidatus Phytoplasma ulmi
Lineage: Bacteria; Bacillati; Mycoplasmatota; Mollicutes; Acholeplasmatales; Acholeplasmataceae
Description: bacterial SSU rRNA
Rfam family: Bacterial small subunit ribosomal RNA
Source: RNAcentral
AAGACGAGGAUAACAAUCGGAAACGGUUGCUAAGACUGGAUAGGAAACAGAAAGGCAUCUUUUUGUUUUUAAAAGACCUUCUUCGGAGGGUAUGCUUAAAGAGGGGCUUGCGCCACAUUAGUUAGUUGGUGAGGUAAAGGCUUACCAAGAUUAUGAUGUGUAGCUGGACUGAGAGGUUGAACAGCCACAUUGGGACUGAGACACGGCCCAAACUCCUACGGGAGGCAGCAGUAGGGAAUUUUCGGCAAUGGAGGAAACUCUGACCGAGCGACGCCGCGUGAACGAUGAAGUAUUUCGGUAUGUAAAGUUCUUUUAUUGAAGAAGAAAAAAUAGUGGAAAAACUAUCUUGACGUUAUUCAAUGAAUAAGCCCCGGCUAACUAUGUGCCAGCAGCCGCGGUAAGACAUAGGGGGCGAGCGUUAUCCGGAAUUAUUGGGCGUAAAGGGUGCGUAGGCGGUUAGAUAAGUCUAUAAUUUAAUUUCAGUGCUUAACGCUGUCUUGUUAUAGAAACUGUCUUGACUAGAGUGAGAUAGAGGCAAGCGGAAUUCCAUGUGUAGCGGUAAAAUGUGUAAAUAUAUGGAGGAACACCAGAAGCGUAGGCGGCUUGCUGGGUCUUUACUGACGCUGAGGCACGAAAGCGUGGGGAGCAAACAGGAUUAGAUACCCUGGUAGUCCACGCUGUAAACGAUGAGUACUAAGUGUCGGGGAAACUCGGUACUGAAGUUAACACAUUAAGUACUCCGCCUGAGUAGUACGUACGCAAGUAUGAAACUUAAAGGAAUUGACGGGACUCCGCACAAGCGGUGGAUCAUGUUGUUUAAUUCGAAGAUACACGAAAAACCUUACCAGGUCUUGACAUACUCUGCAAAGCUAUAGAAAUAUAGUGGAGGUUAUCAGGGAUACAGGUGGUGCAUGGUUGUCGUCAGUUCGUGUCGUGAGAUGUUAGGUUAAGUCCUAAAACGAACGCAACCCCUGUCGUUAGUUGCCAGCACGUAAUGGUGGGGACUUUAGCGAGACUGCCAAUUAAACAUUGGAGGAAGGUGGGGAUAACGUCAAAUCAUCAUGCCCCUUAUGAUCUGGGCUACAAACGUGAUACAAUGGCUAUUACAAAGAGUAGCUGAAACGCGAGUUUUUAGCCAAUCUCAAAAAGGUAGUCUCAGUACGGAUUGAAGUCUGCAACUCGACUUCAUGAAGCUGGAAUCGCUAGUAAUCGCGAAUCAGCAUGUCGCGGUGAAUACGUUCUCGGGGUUUGUACACACCGCCCGUCAAACCACGAAAGUUAGCAAUACCCGAAAGCAGUGGCUUAACUUCGCAAGAAGAGGGAGCUGUCUAAGGUAGGGUUGAUGAUUGGGGUUAAGUCGUAACAAGGUAUCC